CGGCCGCAGUAAUUUGACUGUGCUAAGGUAGCAUAAUAGCUUGUCUYUUAAUUAGAGUCUAGAAUGAAAGAUAAAAUAAAUUCCAACUUUCCUUCUUUAAUAAAUUUAACUUUAUUAUUAAGUGAAAAGGCUUAAAUGCUUAAAAAAGACGAUAAGACCCUGUGAAAUUUCAUUUGAUAUAGAAUUAUAUUUGUUUCUUUAUAGAAAAAUAAAUGUAACUUUAAAUAAUUUAGUUGGGGCGACUUUAAUUUAAACAUAAACAAUUAAAAUACUUAAUAAAUAAAUUUAAAUUUAUGUAGAACCUAUAUAAAGGUAAAUUGACUAAAUUACUCCAGGGAUAACAGCGUAAUUUUUUUGGAGAGUUCUUAUCAAUAAAAAA
RNAcentral lists this ribosomal RNA (379 nucleotides) under Pilbaranella sp. A GP-2018. RNAcentral describes it as "partial 16S ribosomal RNA". The record is from RNAcentral. Lineage: Eukaryota; Metazoa; Arthropoda; Malacostraca; Bathynellacea; Bathynellidae.